Molecule: unclassified non-coding RNA, 887 nt
Filed under: Hevea brasiliensis (rubber tree)
Lineage: Eukaryota; Viridiplantae; Streptophyta; Magnoliopsida; Malpighiales; Euphorbiaceae
Source: RNAcentral
CUUGAGUUCCACGCCAGCAAAUGAAGACCGCUCACUGAAUAAGGUGAUAUGGUCUCCUUAGCUCUGAUCUCUUACCCCUUAGUUUUCUCAUCAUUUUGAUCUGAUAAUCAUGCCUCUCUUCUACUUCAAUCGUCGUAAUUCCGAUGGUGAAAGUUCUAAUUCGUUUUAUGGUGAGACGCCCACAGGAAAAGCUUUCUCUGAUGCUCCUAUUCCAAUCAGAAGUAUUCAAAAAGACGAAGGUGAGACUUCUUCUUUAGCUGCUUACAAAUCUAUUUAUGAAAAGCUUCCUCUUCAUCUCAAAUCCUGCUUAGAUUACAUCUAUGUUCUUUCCCAAAAUUUUUAUUGGGAGAAAGGAAAAGUAGUUCGGUUAUUGUUGGCCCAAGGUAUAAUUCCUGAAGAACCAGGGGAGAUUAUGGAAGAUACAGCAUCAAAUAUUAUUACGGAAUUAAUUGGUCUUGGGAUGUUACAAGAAAAUUAUUUUUUUGAAAGUAAAGUGCAAGUCCCUGAAUUCUAUGGGAAAUCAUGUGUUAUUGAAGUUGAGGAGCAUGAUUUUGUUGCUAAAGUUGCGACUUCGCCUAUCCAUGCAUUGAGUUACAAUGAUGAAAAAGACAUUCUUCCUAACUUCAAAACACUACUAAUUCGAUCCUUGUUUGAUAGGAGUUUCAGAGCAUUUUCUCAGGUGCAUUUGCAAACUGUUUGUGCGUUGCAAUUUAUGUUAGUGUUGGAUUUGUUUGGAAACAUAGACUACUUACCUGAUGAAAUGGGAAAUCUGGUUCACCUCAGGUAUUUAGGUUUGAGUUCCACAAAUAUAAAGAAGCUUCCGAAUACAAUAGGUAAUCUUCAGAAACUGCAAACUUUGGAGCUAGAAUCUACAAAUCUACACCAAC